AUAAGUUAUAAAGUAUAGUUUAUUUUUUUAAUCCCUAUUGCUUUUUUUAUAAACUUGAUGAAACUUACCUUGAGAAAUAUGACCUCAACAUAUGGUCAUGCCAAAAACAAAUGUGUAGUCAUAAUUUACCUAAAUCUAUACUAACUAAUUUACAUUCCCACCAAUAGUGUAAAAGUGAAUGGCAAGUAUUAUUUCACCUACAUUCCCAUCCACUUCUUCCCUUCCCAUUUUAUUUUGAAGAAUAUCAUUUUUACGAUUAGCAUUGCUUUUUAUAAAGCAAAUCAUUGCCGUUUCAAC
This 297-nucleotide long non-coding RNA is filed under the name Pan troglodytes (chimpanzee). RNAcentral's name for it is "long non-coding RNA NONPTRT013079". The record is from RNAcentral. Lineage: Eukaryota; Metazoa; Chordata; Mammalia; Primates; Hominidae.